Molecule: long non-coding RNA, 578 nt
Organism: Haliotis rufescens (red abalone)
Lineage: Eukaryota; Metazoa; Mollusca; Gastropoda; Lepetellida; Haliotidae
Exons: 3
Source: RefSeq, a predicted model, not a curated record
UGAUAUUCUUGAAUCGGUACCAGUCAGAAGCAGGAUCGAGUGUUCUGUGAAGUGCCUGAAUAAGCCGGUCUGUCUGUCAGCCUCCUACUGUAAGACUGGGGAUGGUUAUACGUGUCAGUUAACCGGGUCGUACGUGGAGGGGAACUGUUCGAGGCUUGCCGCUGGUGAUGGCUGCAGUCAGACUCCGAUGACCCUCUAUGUAUACAUCGUUGAAAAAGUAAUUGCCAGUUGUUUACUCCAGAAGUGACAGUAUUACAGACAGACGGACAAACUAGCAGAUCAUCACGACGCAGGCCGCAAUAUAUUCCAGCAAUAUCACGGUGUCAUGUUUAUAAUCGAGUCGAUGCAUGGCAAACCAGUAGCUAACAGCAUGAGCAAUGAUCCAUCAGUCGGGGCACGAUGACACACAAUCAGUCAAUCAGAUCUGGCCCUCAUUACCUGGCACAAAGAAGCCGAGACCGAAAGGUAGCAUCUCCUGCGAAAGAACCUCCAGUGAGACAACAGGAAGCAUAGCUGUCAUCCCUCCAAUUCCAGCGCCAGCUGUCGAUGUCAACACUGUCAACAUCGACCAUUCGGUG